CGCGUAGGCGGUUUGAUUAGCUGGAUGUGAAAGCCCCGGGCUUAACCUGGGAAUUGCAUCCAGAACUGUCAGGCUAGAGUACAGUAGAGGUGAGUGGAAUUUCCUGUGUAGCGGUGAAAUGCGUAGAUAUAGGAAGGAACAUCAGUGGCGAAGGCGGCUCACUGGACUGAUACUGACGCUGAGGUGCGAAAGCGGUGGGGAGACAAACA
RNAcentral lists this ribosomal RNA (209 nucleotides) under uncultured bacterium. Its description in RNAcentral is "partial 16S ribosomal RNA". It matches the Rfam family "Bacterial small subunit ribosomal RNA", at positions 568 to 774 of the family's 1533-position model. The record is from RNAcentral.